AAAAGAGUCCAAAAAGGACUCAAAAGUGGGCUGUCGUACGGGCAGCAUGUUGGGCAUGCGAGGGUGGUGUGCAUAUGCCAUGUGGGUCGCGCGGGCUGGAAGCAUGAGUCGAGCCCAUCUGCCAUGCAAGUCAUUUCUGCGCGUGCGCUGGGUGUUGGGCGUGCGUUUGCCUUGUCGCGCACAUACGCAUGGUGCACACAUGCGACAUGUGGUUUGUGUACAGACUCACGCAUACUGUGGUGUGCAGUGCUAGCCAUCCGCAUACUCUAUG
RNAcentral lists this long non-coding RNA (271 nucleotides) under Carica papaya (papaya). RNAcentral's name for it is "long non-coding RNA (CPAP_LNC002507)". Lineage: Eukaryota; Viridiplantae; Streptophyta; Magnoliopsida; Brassicales; Caricaceae. The record is from RNAcentral.